This 223-nucleotide unclassified non-coding RNA is filed under the name uncultured cyanobacterium. RNAcentral's name for it is "partial contains 16S ribosomal RNA and 16S-23S ribosomal RNA intergenic spacer". The stretch from base 1 to 102 matches the Rfam family "Bacterial small subunit ribosomal RNA", at positions 1434 to 1533 of the family's 1533-position model. The record is from RNAcentral. Lineage: Bacteria; Bacillati; Cyanobacteriota.
UCCAACUGUUCGCAGAGGGGGACGCCGAAGGCAGGGCUGAUGACUAGGGUGAAGUCGUAACAAGGUAGCCGUACCGGAAGGUGUGGCUGGAUCACCUCCUUUUAGGGAGACCUCCCACUCUGACCUGAAAGCAAAGAGUAAAUAGGGACAGAGCUGGUCAACCCAAGGUCGGUCAGGGAAUUAGCGCAGGCUUUCAAACUAAUCUAGGUUUGGUUCAUGGGCU